GGCGGCGUAGCUCAGUUGGUCAGAGCGACCGGUUCAUACCCGGUAGGUCAUAAGUUCGAAUCUCAUCGCCGCUACCA
RNAcentral lists this transfer RNA (77 nucleotides) under Clostridiales bacterium. RNAcentral describes it as "tRNA-Met". It matches the Rfam family "tRNA". Rfam says of the family: Transfer RNA (tRNA) molecules are approximately 80 nucleotides in length. Their secondary structure includes four short double-helical elements and three loops (D, anti-codon, and T loops). RNAcentral also lists the same sequence under 1 other name. The record is from RNAcentral. Lineage: Bacteria; Bacillati; Bacillota; Clostridia; Eubacteriales.